This 508-nucleotide ribosomal RNA is filed under the name uncultured bacterium. Its description in RNAcentral is "partial 16S ribosomal RNA". It matches the Rfam family "Bacterial small subunit ribosomal RNA", at positions 30 to 523 of the family's 1533-position model. The record is from RNAcentral.
AUUGAACGCUGGCGGCAGGCCUAACACAUGCAAGUCGAGCGGCAGCGGGAGGAAGCUUGCUUCCUUGCCGGCGAGCGGCGGACGGGUGAGUAAGGUAUGGGGAUCUGGCCGAAGGCGGGGGAUAACCACUGGAAACGGUGGCUAAUACCGCAUAAUCUCUAAGGAGCAAAGUGGGGGACCGUUAAGGCCUCACACCUUCGGAUGAACCCAUAUGAAAAUUAGCAAGUAGGUGGGGUAAUGGCUCACGUAGGCGAAGAUCUUUAGGUGGUCUGAGAGGAGGAUCAGCCACACUGGGACUGAGACACGGCCACGACUCCUACGGGGGGCAGCAGUGGGGAAUAUUGCACAAUGGGCGCAAGCCUGAUGCAGCCAUGCCGCGUGUAUGAAGAAGGCCUUCGGGUUAUAAAGUACUUUCAGUCGUGAGGAAGGUGUUAAGGUUAAUAACCUUAGCAAUUGACGUUAGCGACAGAAGAAGCACCGGCUACCUCCGUGCCAGCCGCCGCGGUAA